This 420-nucleotide ribosomal RNA is filed under the name uncultured archaeon. RNAcentral's name for it is "bacterial SSU rRNA". It matches the Rfam family "Archaeal small subunit ribosomal RNA", at positions 459 to 879 of the family's 1478-position model. The record is from RNAcentral.
CAGCCGCCGCGGUAAAACCAGCACCUCAAGUGGUCAGGAUGAUUAUUGGGCCUAAAGCAUCCGUAGCCGGCUCUGUAAGUUUUCGGUUAAAUCUGUACGCUNAACGUACAGGCUGCCGGGAAUACUGCAGAGCUAGGGAGUGGGAGAGGUAGACGGUACUCGGUAGGAAGUGGUAAAAUGCUUUGAUCUAUCGAUGACCACCUGUGGCGAAGGCGGUCUACCAGAACACGUCCGACGGUGAGGGAUGAAAGCUGGGGGAGCAAACCGGAUUAGAUACCCGGGUAGUCCCAGCUGUAAACUAUGCAAACUCAGUGAUGCAUUGGCUUGUGGCCAAUGCAGUGCUGCAGGGAAGCCGUUAAGUUUGCCGCCUGGGAAGUACGUACGCAAGUAUGAAACUUAAAGGAAUUGGCGGGGGAGCAC